Molecule: unclassified non-coding RNA, 236 nt
Filed under: Hevea brasiliensis (rubber tree)
Lineage: Eukaryota; Viridiplantae; Streptophyta; Magnoliopsida; Malpighiales; Euphorbiaceae
Source: RNAcentral
CAAGAAUCAUAUACCACCAUGUACUUCAGCAUUGAGUCAAAUCAUAAACUCAGUAAAAAAGGCAAUAAUUGCAAGAAAAUUAAGUUUCCCAAGUCAAAAAAACAAAACCCAAGAUGAUAAUCCAGAAAAGGAAAGGUCAGGUAAUGGAGAUCGAUUUAGUGGUAUGAAUUUCCAUAAGUCAACCAUGAGACCAACAAUGAAAGAACACAGGUAGAAAAAGAAUUUGAAAACACAGG